UGUUUGGUGAAGGGAACUUGUCCAUAUCUGGUUUUGGGAUGAACAACAUCGACCCAAAUGUGCUCUUCACCAUCUGCAUUCUUAAGAGGUGUGGGUAAGGAUGAAGGUGGUCUUCAAAGGUGAGUAUAACGGGAUAUUCAGAGAAUAAGAAGGCAUCCUCCUUUAUGGCUUUCAGACAUUUGCCUAGUUUAACAGGUGUUGUCAAUGUCCUGCAAUUUAAAAUUCACGAAUUUUGUAUAUGUGUUGGUGGGAGAAAACAGUUUUUUCAUGAAAUUAUUUAAUUAUGGAGUAUGAAUAAGUUACCCUCCGUGACAAACAUCGAUAUCAUCUUUUGUGAUAUUAGGCCAAAGGUCCAAUUCAAUCACUCUAACUCCUUU
Long non-coding RNA from Solanum dulcamara, 377 nucleotides. RefSeq lists it as uncharacterized. The transcript is spliced from 2 exons. Lineage: Eukaryota; Viridiplantae; Streptophyta; Magnoliopsida; Solanales; Solanaceae. The record is from RefSeq and is a predicted model, not a curated record.